Long non-coding RNA from Frankliniella occidentalis (western flower thrips), 1258 nucleotides. RefSeq lists it as uncharacterized. Lineage: Eukaryota; Metazoa; Arthropoda; Insecta; Thysanoptera; Thripidae. The transcript has 4 exons. The record is from RefSeq and is a predicted model, not a curated record.
UCUAAGGUGACCGUUGGUUUUUAAAUUGAGGCGCCGAACGGUUCAGUUUUAAGCUUCGCGGUUGUGCGCUCGAGUUCGAAUUUCCCACCCUUCCCUCGUGACGUUUCUCAUACUAUUUGAAUUUGGCGCGGAGUGCGGCCAUACUGGAUUCUCAUAUUGGAGAUUGGCGCGCUAAGCGGCCAUCGCAGUUUGCCAUACUGGAGCUUUUGGCGCGCGGCGUCACGGGAACGUUCUCGGAAGCAGAGAGAGCAGUGAGAGUCAGUUUCCGGUUGUCAGUCCGGUGAGAAUGACGGGAGUAGAGAGCAUGUGUUUUUAAUCUUUAAUCAUCGGAGAUAUCUUUUGAGUGGAGAACUGCUGUAGUUCAGUUUUAUGCUUUAGGGCAUUUAUAUUUUAAUUGAAGAUAAGUUGGUGAUGUUUUAUUUUGAUGUUCCAAGCGUUUUUCUUCUAUGUGCUGGCUCACAUUCUUUUGUGCAUUGGAACGUUUUUUGAUGAACCCGAUGUGCACUGUGGUGAUUUCCUGACUGGAUCCCAGUGUUUAUUUUACACCUGAUCGGGUUCUUGGUUAUGUUAUAACCCUACCAUGUGUUUAUGGCUCUCAUGUUUGAUUGGUUUUGCCAUUGCUCCCGCUUGCUGUGAUUUUGAGGUUGCUGUUCAGCUUCAUCUUUCUUCUAGAGUUUCUCCCGGACUCAUGUAUAUUUUAUUUGUAUUUCUGCGUAUAGUCAGUUUGACUGCGGUAAUUUGGUAGAGCCUUUGAGGUGUCUGCUUUUAUUAUGACCUUGUGAUUUGAGGUCUAUGAUCUGAAUUCUCUAGUUUUACUAGAACUUUUCUGUAAUGUCUGGCUUUGUAUUGUAGCCAUUUUGAGUUGAGAUUUUGAGAUUGUUUGAGGGACUUACUUGUACCUCGUUUGAGAUUGGCGGUUAUUUAGCGCCUGUGUACCUUGAGUUUCAUGGAGCGUUUUUAGCUCUAGUUAGAGGCUGGUCCUCUGUCUUUUAAUUGUUUAAGAUUUGUUUGGCUGUUAGCCUUUAUCUUCUUUGAGAAGUUGUGAACUUGUAGUUCCUGUUUGAGUGUUAGUUUCUGAAUUUGGAGGUACUUGGAGUCAGUGUUUGUACUUCUUCACGCUGUGAUAUUGUUUGUCUUUGUAUUAUUAAAGCCUUUGAAUUGUUAUUGUUAACCUGAGUAACUUCUGUAGCCAUAACCUUUGACGGUGACUUGUCACCUGGCGCCCAUUUAUUAUAGAGGACUUUAAGUCAAAGUUGAA